ACUGCUCAGUAACACGUGGACAACCUGCCCUUAGGUUGGGUAUAAACCCGGGAAACUGGGUAUAAUACCCGAUAGGUCUCGAUUGCUGGAAUGCAUCGAGAUUUAAAGCUCCGGCGCCUAAGGAUGGGUCUGCGGCCUAUCAGGUAGUAGUGGGUGUAGUGUACCUACUAGCCUACGACGGGUACGGGUUGUGAGAGCAAGAGCCCGGAGAUGGAUUCUGAGACACGAAUCCAGGCCCUACGGGGUGCAGCAGGCGCGAAAACUUUACAAUGCUGGCAACAGCGAUAAGGGAACCUCGAGUGCCAGGUUAUAAAUCUGGCUGUCGAGAUGCCUAAAAAGCAUUUCAUAGCAAGGGCCGGGCAAGACCGGUGCCAGCCGCCGCGGUAACACCGGCGGCUCGAGUGGUAACCGUUAUUAUUGGGUCUAAAGGGUCUGUAGCCGGCCGGAUAAGUCUCUUGAGAAAUCUGGCAGCUUAACUGUCAGGCUUUCAGGAGAUACUGUCUGGCUCGAGGCCGGGAGAGGUGAGAGGUACUUCAGGGGUAGGGGUGAAAUCUUGUAAUCCUUGAAGGACCACCAGUGGCGAAGGCGUCUCACCAGAACGGACCUGACGGCAAGGGACGAAAGCUAGGGGCACGAACCGGAUUAGAUACCCGGGUAGUCCUAGCCGUAAACGAUACUCGCUAGGUGUCGGCCACGGUGCGACCGUUGUCGGUGCCGUAGGGAAGCCGUGAAGCGAGCCACCUGGGAAGUACGGCCGCAAGGCUGAAACUUAAAGGAAUUGGCGGGGGAGCAC
RNAcentral lists this ribosomal RNA (793 nucleotides) under uncultured archaeon. RNAcentral's name for it is "bacterial SSU rRNA". It matches the Rfam family "Archaeal small subunit ribosomal RNA", at positions 85 to 879 of the family's 1478-position model. The record is from RNAcentral.